GUCACAGUAGCAUAGUGGUUAAUGCGCAGCCCCGGAUACUUUGAGACGCGGGUUCGAAUCCCGCCUGAGUUG
This 72-nucleotide transfer RNA is filed under the name Nippostrongylus brasiliensis. It matches the Rfam family "tRNA". From Rfam's summary of the family: Transfer RNA (tRNA) molecules are approximately 80 nucleotides in length. Their secondary structure includes four short double-helical elements and three loops (D, anti-codon, and T loops). Lineage: Eukaryota; Metazoa; Nematoda; Chromadorea; Rhabditida; Heligmosomidae. The record is from Rfam by way of RNAcentral.